This is a long non-coding RNA of Pongo pygmaeus (Bornean orangutan), 784 nucleotides long. RefSeq lists it as uncharacterized. The transcript is spliced from 7 exons. The record is from RefSeq and is a predicted model, not a curated record. NCBI's taxonomy places the organism in Eukaryota, Metazoa, Chordata, Mammalia, Primates, Hominidae.
CUCUUCAAAUACGAAAAUUGGCACAGCUUGACUUUCUUCCACUGCCCUCCCAGUCACAGCUCAGACACCCACAAACUCCCACCGCAGGCUGGAGUCCUCUGGAGCCCUAACUGUGAUACCCAAAGAAAGGGUUAUGCUACGUUGCUUAGACUGACCUCAACCUCCUGGGCUCAAUCUUCCUGCCUCAACUUCCCAAGUAGCUAGAAUUACAGGGACAGAACAGAUGCUGUUUCCCAGGGGACCAAUCCCAGAAAUAUGUGGAGCUGGAGCUUCUGUCAGCCUUUUUGCUACCACGAGAGGAACCAAAUUGUGAAGACAUCUGUUCUGUUAUUAAUUUCACAUACAUCUUAAGCUCCUCAAGGCCAGAAAUGAGGCUUCAUUCACGUCGAAUUAAUGAAACAUGAUUCAGCUACAUUUUCACCCCAUCCCGGGCUCCACGUUCCUGCCGCACACACAUCAAGAAUGCUGCUAAUUUCAGCGUCUGGCUUCCAGACCCAGACGUCAAAACAACUACCUUUCAUCUCAGGAAAGCCAACUACUAUGUUGUGAGCAGCCCAAUGGAGAGGCCCACAAGACAACGAACUGAAGCCUCCAGCAACAACCCUGUGAGGCUGGAACUGCCCAUAAAGGCCGGCACCCCAGCAGCCACCUUGAGAAAUGCAGCGAUGAUGCUGAGUGGCAAGGCAGAAGGCACAGGGUCCCUGUACCUGAGGAUUGCUGCUCCAAACCUGGGCCACCAGCCUGAGGAUCCCGCCAGGCAGAAGUAAAGCUCUGUUUUGCUGAA